Solanum stenotomum is the source of this 2043-nucleotide RNA transcript. RefSeq lists it as uncharacterized. NCBI's taxonomy places the organism in Eukaryota, Viridiplantae, Streptophyta, Magnoliopsida, Solanales, Solanaceae. The transcript has 17 exons. The record is from RefSeq and is a predicted model, not a curated record.
AGGAGCGGACAGCGUUUAAACUUGUUCACUAAAAUAUAUAGGAGUUGCCAACUUUGGUUUAAACUUCUUCGCUACUACUAAAAUACUACAGCUCUCUGCAUUUCGCUCCUCUCUGCUAACCGAAUCCUUCUCUAUUCAGCUUACCGCCAUGGGCCUGAAAAAGGAAGCAAAUGCAAACGUGAAUCCAACACAUGUUGCAGUUGAUAGAAAGAGACAUCUGAAUGUUGUAUUCAUUGGUCAUGUUGAUGCUGGGAAGUCCACAGCUGGAGGACAAAUACUAUUCCUUAGUGGUCAAGUUGAUGAUCGGACUAUCCAGAAGUAUGAGAAGGAAGCAAAGGAUAAGAGUAGAGAGAGUUGGUAUAUGGCCUAUAUCAUGGAUACAAAUGAAGAGGAGAGAGCGAAGGGAAAAACAGUUGAGGUAGGAAGAGCACAUUUUGAAACAGAGACAACAAGAUUUACAAUCUUGGAUGCCCCGGGUCACAAGAGUUACAUCCCGAAUAUGAUUAGUGGAGCAUCUCAAGCCGAUAUAGGUGUAUUGGUUAUAUCCGCUAGAAAGGGUGAAUUCGAAACUGGAUAUGAAAGAGGUGGACAAACACGUGAACAUGUUCAACUUGCAAAGACUCUAGGAGUUUCUAAGCUCCUUGUUGUUGUAAAUAAGAUGGAUGAUCCUACUGUCGUCUGGUCUAAAGAAAGGUAUGACGAUAUCCAGUCCAAAAUGAUACCAUUCUUAAAAUCAUCUCAAUACAAUGUAAGGAAAGAUGUUCAGUUCCUGCCAAUCUCUGGUCUCCUUGGUUCAAAUAUGAAAACUCGGGUGGAGGAAAGAGUAUGCGCAUGGUGGGAUGGUCCAUGCCUUUUUGAAGCUCUUGAUGCGGUAGAAGUUCCUCCCCGAGAUCCUGAAGGUCCACUAAGAAUGCCUAUUAUCGACAAAUUUAAAGACCUGGGAACUGUUGUUAUGGGUAAAACAGAAUCUGGGAGCAUUUGUGAAGGUGAUAGUUUGUUGAUGAUGCCAAAUAAGUUUGUUGUGAAAGUACCUGCUCUAUUUUGUGAUGAAGAUAGAGUUAGGUACGCAGAUCCGGGGGAAAAUGUACGAGUUAGGUUAUCUGGAAUCGAGGAAGAGGACAUUUUGUCAGGUUUUGUCUUGUGCAGUGUUGCAAACCCCAUACCUGCAGUUACUGAGUUUGUUGCACAGUUACAGAUCUUGGAGCUGUUGGACAAUGCUAUUUUUACUGCUGGCUACAAGGCUGUGUUGCAUAUUCAUGCUAUUGUUGAGGAAUGCGAGAUUGUUGAACUGAUGCAGCAGAUUGAUCUCAAGAAAAAGAAGCCCAUGAAGAAAACACCUUUGUUUGUGAAGAACGGAGCAAUCGUUCUAUGUCGUGUUCAGGUGAAUAAUCUGAUUUGUAUCGAGAAGUUCUCUGAUUUUCCACAACUUGGGCGGUUCACUCUUCGCAGUGAAGGGAAAACUGUUGCUGUGGGGAAAGUUACCACCCUUCCUACUGUUGCUAAUAAUGCGUGAACAACUUGAUAACUGAAAAGGAAACAACCUCUCUACCUCCACGAGGCAGGGGUAAGGUCUUACCUUAAGGCCCCUGUACACUCUACCCUCCCUAAACUCCACUUGUGAAGGAAAGGUCAGUUGAACUUAGAUGGCAGCAGACAUAAUUUUUGGUCCUUUGCAGCAUUAACCUGGAGCUAAGUUGAUGUGAUCUGCUAUAUGCGUAAACGUUCGCCAGUUUAGUGUCUGCGUAGUGUGCUGUAUUGGUUCUGGUAUCUGUUGUCGUUUUAUAGUACCAUCCGAUGAUGGUGCUUGUUUUUUAAUGCGCAGUGCUGUAUGAAUCUAUCUUGAUUUUGGUAGAUGAUCCAUUUUACAUGCUGGUCGAUCUUAUAUAUGCACAAAAAUACCGAUAAUUGGGCCUUUGCUUAUGGCUGAAUGCAUAUCAAUUAAUCCUUUUGAAAUACGAUUGCAUUGAUCUUCGUGUAUGGCAUAGAAAACAUAAUUUUAUUUGUAUUUGCAUAAUAUUCAUACCAGAUGAGUUUAUAUAUAGA